RNAcentral lists this ribosomal RNA (878 nucleotides) under uncultured bacterium. RNAcentral's name for it is "bacterial SSU rRNA". It matches the Rfam family "Bacterial small subunit ribosomal RNA", at positions 104 to 968 of the family's 1533-position model. The record is from RNAcentral.
GGGUGCGUAACACGUGGGCAAUCUGCCGAAGAGUGGGGGAUAGCUCGCCGAAAGGCGAAUUAAUACCGCAUGCGGUCGAGGAAGACAUCUUCCGAGAACUAAAGCCGGGGCAACCUGGCGCUCUUUGAUGGGCCCGCGGCCUAUCAGCUUGUUGGUGAGGUAACGGCUCACCAAGGCAAUGACGGGUAGCUGGUCUGAGAGGACGACCAGCCACACUGGAACUGAGACACGGUCCAGACACCUACGGGUGGCAGCAGUCGAGAAUUUUUCUCAAUGGGGGAAACCCUGAAGGAGCGACGCCGCGUGGAGGAUGAAGGUUUUCGGAUUGUAAACUCCUGUCAUCCGGGGGCAAUGCUAUGUCGUUAACUGCGAUGUAGUUGAUCGUACCGGAAGAGGAAGAGACGGCUAACUCUGUGCCAGCAGCCGCGGUAAUACAGAGGUCUCGAGCGUUGUUCGGAUUCAUUGGGCGUAAAGGGUGCGUAGGCGGCGAGCUAAGUUUGGUGUGAAAUCCUGGGGCUUAACCUCAGAAUUGCACUGAAUACUGGUUUGCUGGAGGACUGGAGAGGAGAUUGGAAUUCACGGCGUAGCAGUGAAAUGCGUAGAUAUCGUGAGGAAGACCAGUGGCGAAGGCGAAUCUCUGGACAGUUCCUGACGCUGAGGCACGAAGGCCAGGGGAGCAAACGGGAUUAGAUACCCCGGUAGUCCUGGCAGUAAACGGUGCACGUUUGGUGUGAGCGGUUUCGACCCCGUUCGCGCCGGAGCUAACGCGUUAAACGUGCCGCCUGGGGAGUACGGUCGCAAGAUUAAAACUCAAAGAAAUUGACGGGGGCCCGCACAAGCGGUGGAGUAUGUGGCUUAAUUCGAUGCAACGCGAAGAA